Molecule: ribosomal RNA, 497 nt
Filed under: uncultured bacterium
Lineage: Bacteria
Description: partial 16S ribosomal RNA
Rfam family: Bacterial small subunit ribosomal RNA
Source: RNAcentral
GAUGAACGCUGGCGGCAUGCCUAACACAUGCAAGUCGAGCGAACAGACGAGGAUCUUGCUCCUCUGACGUUAGCGGCGGACGGGUGAGUAACACGUGGAUAACCUACCUAUGAGACUGGGAUAGCGUCGGGAAACCGAAUCUAAUACCGGAUCACAUGUUGAACCGCAGGGUUCAACAGUGAACGCCGGUUUGGAUGUGACGUAUAGAUGUUUCCGCGUCGGAUUAGCUAGUUGGUAGGGUAAAGGCUUACCAAGGCGACGAUGCGUAGCCGACCUGAGAGGACGACCAGCCACACUGGGACUGAGACACGGCCCAGACUCCUACGGGAGGCAGCAGUGGGGAAUUUUGGACAAUGGGGGCAACCCUGAUCCAGCCAUGCCGCGUGCGGGAAGAAGGCCUUCGGGUUGUAAAACGCUUUUGUUCGGGAAGAAAACCUCUGGGCUAAUACCCCGGGGGGAUGACGGUACCGGAAGAAUAAGCACCGGCUAACUACGUG